RNAcentral lists this ribosomal RNA (472 nucleotides) under uncultured bacterium. RNAcentral's name for it is "partial 16S ribosomal RNA". It matches the Rfam family "Bacterial small subunit ribosomal RNA", at positions 28 to 507 of the family's 1533-position model. The record is from RNAcentral.
GACGAACGCUGGCGGCGUGCUUAACACAUGCAAGUCGAACGAUGAACCCGGAGCUUGCUCUGGGGGAUUAGUGGCGAACGGGUGAGUAACACGUGAGUAACCUGCCCUGGACUCUGGGAUAAGCGUUGGAAACGACGUCUAAUACCGGAUAGGACCUUGGAUCGCAGGGUGUGGGGUGGAAAGUUUUUUCGGUGUGGGAUGGAUUGGCGGCUUAUCAGCUUGUUGGUGAGGUAACGGCUCACCAAGGCGUCGAUGGGUGGCCGGCCUGCGAGGGAGAUCGGCCACGCUGGGACUGAGAAACGGACGAGACUGCUGCGGGAGGCAGCCGUGGGGAAUAUUGCACAAUGAGCGAAGGCCUGAUGGAGCAGCGCGGCGUGGGAGAUGACAGCCUUCGGGUUGUAGACCACUUUCAGUAGGGAAGAAGGGCUUCGGCUUGACGGUACCUGCAGAAAAAGGACCGGCUAACUACGUG